ACUGUUGUAAAUAAAGGAUUUUAUAUAGCCUUCCAAGCUAUUAAUGCGGGUUCGAUUCCCGCCGCCCGCU
RNAcentral lists this transfer RNA (70 nucleotides) under Nostoc sp. PCC 7120 = FACHB-418. RNAcentral describes it as "Nostoc sp. PCC 7120 tRNA". It matches the Rfam family "tRNA". From Rfam's summary of the family: Transfer RNA (tRNA) molecules are approximately 80 nucleotides in length. Lineage: Bacteria; Bacillati; Cyanobacteriota; Cyanophyceae; Nostocales; Nostocaceae. The record is from Rfam by way of RNAcentral.